This 1611-nucleotide long non-coding RNA is filed under the name Triticum aestivum (bread wheat). RNAcentral's name for it is "long non-coding RNA (TAES_LNC003070)". Lineage: Eukaryota; Viridiplantae; Streptophyta; Magnoliopsida; Poales; Poaceae. The record is from RNAcentral.
UGUCCUCCACGGGAUGAUGGCGUAAUACAUCGCCGAUCCGUUGCUCCCGCCAUAGCCAACCGACGCAUCUUCCUCCUGCUAGUACGACCACCAAUCAGAGGGAAGUUGUGGGAAAAAUUAUUGUCAUCUUAAUGGACCACCAAGCACAUUUUGAAUAAAUGCAACUAAAAGUUAGAAUAGUAUCAUGGGGAAAUUUACUCUCCUUUCAUGAACCCAUAUAAAUAUAAUCACAUAAAAAACCAAAAAAUAUGCGUCCCUUUCUUGAACCCAUAUAAAUAUAAGCACAUAAAAAAACCAAAAAAAUAUGUGUCACGAUUCAUAAGUGAAUAGCACGUGGUAGAUCAUAUAUGCACUUAUUCCAAAUGUGCUCGGAUGAGUGAUAGAUACACUUAUACAAAUAUUGCAUUUGUAUUUUGGACCUUAUAUAGUCAUGAGUUGAUAAUCAGUACAUCCUUUUAUUAUGCAUUUUAUCUGUCUCAUUCGCAUUCUUAAAAAUAAAGAUACUCACUCUGAUUCAUAUUAUUUGUUUUUAUUUUGUCUAGAUACAGAUAUAUCUAAUCAUUUGAGAUACAUAUUAUUUGUCUUAAAUUUGUGUAGCUACGGACUAAUGUAUCUUAAACUGUUUGGUAUCUGUGUCUAAAAUCGUCUGGUUUUAGAUACAUCCAUAUCUAGACAAAUCUAAAACAAAUAAUAUGGAUAGAGGGAUAUAUUAAUUUGAGACAUUUUUAUUUAACUAUAGUAUAAAAUAAUAAAGUAUUAUUCUCAAAACAAUAAAGGAUAAUAAUAAAAUACACAUAUUUGAUCUUCAUUGGAACCAUCCUGACCUAUCUCUUCGAAAUAGACAACUUUAUCUCUUCACAUGGAUAAGCUUAGACGGCAGCUGACCAGCUAAAAUAAUUCACAUGCAUGCACUCCCAACCUUAUCUCUUCCAGGCAACCCGCGCUCUAUACUGCUCCUUGUUCGUCAAAGUUGAGACAGAUAGAGGAUGCGGUAGGGGAGGCCGGGAAGGGUGCUGCUGGCCGCACGGCUCGUCUAUGUGGCUGCUCGGCGACGUCGAGCGUGUGGCGGGGCUGGAGGAGUUGGGUGCUGGGCCUACCCUGUGAUGAGCUUGAUUCCUCGCCCGCGACCCUGUGUUCAUGCCGUCGGUCGGAGGUCGAGCAGACCGCUUGAACGGCGCUGCUGCUGCUCGUUUGGAGUGCACGGGCCGUUGGCUUCUUCGAGAGGCUCUGGGACGCCGGUGGCGCAGGCGCCACGGGUCUCGCCGCGAUGUUCGGGCAGCGGGCCCGGCUUCGGAUAUGCACCGACGGUCAAUUCAGGGCAGCGGAGAGGAGCGGCGGCAAGGUCAGCGCCGCGUCUCUGUCCAAUCUCUCUCUUCUCUCCGUCGACAGGAACCGGAGAAAGGCGCCGCCAUUGGCGACCAUGGAGCUCAUUAUUGUCUUACAUGGUAUCACGCUAGGUUACGAUCGCUUUCGCUUCUAAACCCUAAUACCCGCACCGCCGCCGCAGCCACCUUCACCGUCGUCGCCGCGCCACCGAUCGCGCCGCCGCCAUGUCGAGCGCCGCCACCAUCGGUUCCACUGCUGCGGGCUUCCUCCCGGCCUCUCUUGCGG